Molecule: ribosomal RNA, 522 nt
Filed under: uncultured bacterium
Lineage: Bacteria
Description: bacterial SSU rRNA
Rfam family: Bacterial small subunit ribosomal RNA
Source: RNAcentral
UACAGGACGACGCUGGCGGCGUGCCUAAUACAUGCAAGUCGAACGGCUUUUCUAUGGAAGCUUGCUUCCACUGAGAAGAUAGUGGCGAACGGGUGAGUAACACGUGGGUAACCUGCCCAUAAGAGGGGGGAUAACAUCCGGAAACGGGUGCUAAUACCGCAUAGUUUUCUUGAUCGCAUGAUUGAGAAAGGAAAGACGGCCUUUGUGCUGUCGCUUAUGGAUGGACCCGCGGCGUAUUAGUUAGUUGGUGAGGUAACGGCUCACCAAGACGAUGAUACGUAGCCGACCUGAGAGGGUGAUCGGCCACAUUGGGACUGAGACACGGCCCAAACUCCUACGGGAGGCAGCAGUAGGGAAUCUUCCGCAAUGGACGAAAGUCUGACGGAGCAACGCCGCGUGAGUGAAGAAAGGUUUUCGGAUCGUAAAACUCUGUUGUCAGAGAAGAACAAGUUGGAGAGUAACUGCUCCAGCCUUGACGGUAUCUGACCAGAAAGCCACGGCUAACUACGUGCCAGCCGCUGC